Rosa rugosa (rugosa rose) is the source of this 1805-nucleotide long non-coding RNA. RefSeq lists it as uncharacterized. The record is from RefSeq and is a predicted model, not a curated record. The transcript is spliced from 3 exons. Lineage: Eukaryota; Viridiplantae; Streptophyta; Magnoliopsida; Rosales; Rosaceae.
UGAGUUAAUUGGUUUUCCCUUUCUUUGACUUUUAUUCUUCCUUUGAUAAGCCUUUACAUUCAUCCUUGUUAACUAAUCCACCGCUUCAUGACAAAAGUUUAACUUAUUCAAAACAAGAGUCCAGCAGAUUUUGACAAGAAGCCAUUAUAUUUGGCUUAUGCAUGAUUCCAUUGUCUGCUAACGCCACCAGAACGUUAAUUUUUGUUUUUAUAUAUAUUGCUUUGUACUAUGGUCAAUUUCUGGAAUGGCUUUGAUGACAAUGGCCACACUUGGAUUAAAGUUUCAUGCCCAGACAAAACUGCCACCGCCAAGGACUUUUCUCCUUUAGCUUUUUAUAUCUGCACCGCUUCGAAGCCUUGCAAUUCUACCGCCCAGCGUCUACUCUCUUAUUCAAUUUGAACUUGUUUGCAGCUUGACACAUCACCCCAAGAACACAUGAUCGUCAUCUUUUGGUGUUAAAAGCCUCAAACCGCCUCUGACUAUUUUGGUCUUCUGCAAACAUAAAGACUUGUGCGCCAAAUUUGUUCUUAAUUGGAUGCUUCAAAGCUUGUAUUCAAUUUUAACAAAUUUGUUUGCUGUGCAGGUUCAAGCAGGACCAGUAGAUUCGGUGAAGCCUGUAGCUGUGACAACUUUGGGCGACAGGGCUCCGACAUGAGUUCAUCGGGAUGCUGCCCGGCAUGGUUCAUCGGAGACGCUGCUCCGGCAUGUUGUCUUUGACAUCAUUGACACCCGGAGGUGCCAUUGUGAGGAGGGCCUGCAACAGAAAAAAAAAGGUGGUGGAGAGCGAUGGAAUGCGGUCUGAACCUUUUGUCUUCCAAGCUGCUUUGCUGCUUUCUCCUUCUUGUUUUUCCACGCUGCUGUGCUCCGUUGUGUCCUCCCCUUGAUGUUUUCGGCCUCUAGUCAAAACCUAGUUUUUCGCACUUCUUUUCCAAGUCAAAUGCCGGAACAUUUGCUCCACAAUCUGGCAGCUUUAUUGCAGCGUCCUUGCCAUCAGGCACACAUUCGUGAGCUGGCAGAGAUGAUGAUCAUUCCUGAAAGGCUAGUUGGGAAUAAGAGGCGAAGUAGAGAGGAGGAAGGUGUUUCUAUCUCCCCUAAAAAACUGAAAUUGAGCCUUGCUGUGGGAGUGUGGGGAAGAAAAACUUGAACUUGGAACCGAAGAAUUUGGGACUGGUACUAGUGGUGCAGAAUGAGGAAAAUAAUGGCCAGUUGAAAAGAAACCGAGGUAGACCUGUAGGUAGCAAAAACAAGCUACCAUAUGGUGAAAAAAAAGAAGGCAACAAAGGCUAAGGAGAGACCAAGGGCAGCCAAGAAACAACUAUUGCCAAAGCUUGACAAGGUUGAUGCAGCUUCAAGCUCCAACUCGAAAGGGAAGGAGCUGGUUCUUUAUUAGUUUUAUUAAUUAGUUUUCUUUCAAGCCUGUGAGAGUUUCGUGAAGCUUCUAUAAGUCUUCUAUGACGUUUCUAGUUUCUUGUUUGUACCACAAUUGCGUGUUUGGCAAGCGAGGACCAGUUGAACGAUUUCUUUUUUGUAAAAGGCGAGGUUUUGAUCAUUUUUGUAUAGGCUUACUAAAAAUUGAGCGUCCCAAAGAUUGUAAUAGUUUGUUAUUGCUUAGAUAGGCAGUCUUUUGCUUUGACUUUUUUAUGUAAGAUUUGUAGACUAUAGCCUUUUGGUUGUUGAACUAAUGAAUUUCAACUUUUAUUUCAAAAAAAAAUUGAUUUCAUCUUUUUUAUAAGAGCUUCAACCAAAAAAGAGAAAAGGGAGUGUGAUAGAAGCAUUUUAUGCGACGUGUAUAUGGUUAAUCCCUA